UUGCAGAAUUCAGUGAAUCAUYGAAUCUUUCGAACGCACAUUGCGCCCCUUGGUAUCCCGAGGGGCAUGCCUGUUCGAGCGUCAUU
RNAcentral lists this ribosomal RNA (86 nucleotides) under uncultured fungus. RNAcentral describes it as "partial 5.8S ribosomal RNA". It matches the Rfam family "5.8S ribosomal RNA", at positions 72 to 154 of the family's 154-position model. Rfam says of the family: 5.8S ribosomal RNA (5.8S rRNA) is a component of the large subunit of the eukaryotic ribosome. The record is from RNAcentral. Lineage: Eukaryota; Fungi.